This 497-nucleotide ribosomal RNA is filed under the name uncultured bacterium. RNAcentral describes it as "partial 16S ribosomal RNA". It matches the Rfam family "Bacterial small subunit ribosomal RNA", at positions 28 to 507 of the family's 1533-position model. The record is from RNAcentral.
GAUGAACGCUGGCGGCGUGCCUAAUACAUGCCAGUCAAGCGAACAGACGAGGAGCUUGCUCCUCUGACGUUAGCGGCGGACGGGUGAGUAACACGUGGAUAACCUACCUAUAAGACUGGGAUAACUUCGGGAAACCGGAGCUAAUACCGGAUAAUAUAUUGAACCGCAUGGUUCAAUAGUGAAAGACGGUUUUGCUGUCACUUAUAGAUGGAUCCGCGCCGCAUUAGCUAGUUGGUAAGGUAACGGCUUACCAAGGCAACGAUGCGUAGCCGACCUGAGAGGGUGACCGGCCACACUGGAACUGAGACACGGUCCACACUCCUACGGGAGGCAGCAGUAGGGAAUCUUCCGCAAUGGGCGAAAGCCUGACGUAGCAACGCCGCGUGAGUGAUGAAGGUCUUCGGCUCGUAAAACUCUGUUAUUAGGGAAGAACAAAUGUGUAAGUAACUAUGCACGUCUUGACGGUACCUAAUCAGAAAGCCACGGCUAACUACGUG